CAGCCGCCGCGGGAAUACGAAGGGUGCAAGCGUUAAUCGGAAUUACUGGGCGUAAAGCGUGCGUAGGCGGUGAGUUAAGUCUGCUGUGAAAUCCCCGGGCUCAACCUGGGAAUGGCAGUGGAUACUGGCUCGCUAGAGUGUGUCAGAGGAUGGUGGAAUUCCCGGUGUAGCGGUGAAAUGCGUAGAGAUCGGGAGGAACAUCAGUGGCGAAGGCGGCCAUCUGGGACAACACUGACGCUGAGGCACGAAAGCGUGGGGAGCAAGCAGGAUUAGAUACCCCGGUAGUCCCUGUCUCUUAUAC
RNAcentral lists this ribosomal RNA (301 nucleotides) under uncultured bacterium. RNAcentral describes it as "partial 16S ribosomal RNA". It matches the Rfam family "Bacterial small subunit ribosomal RNA", at positions 509 to 807 of the family's 1533-position model. The record is from RNAcentral.